RNAcentral lists this ribosomal RNA (376 nucleotides) under uncultured bacterium. Its description in RNAcentral is "bacterial SSU rRNA". It matches the Rfam family "Bacterial small subunit ribosomal RNA", at positions 524 to 898 of the family's 1533-position model. The record is from RNAcentral.
UACGUAGGGUGCGAACGUUGUUCGGAAUCACUGGGCAUAAAGAGCGCGUAGGCGGUCUAAUAAGUCGGGUGUGAAAUCCCUCGGCUCAACCGGGGAACUGCACCUGAUACUGUUGGGCUUGAGUGCAGGAGGGGAGAGCGGAAUUCCUGGUGGAGCGGUGAAAUGCGUAGAUAUCAGGAGGAACGCCGGCGGCGAAAGCGGCUCUCUGGCCUGUAACUGACGCUGAGGCGCGAAAGCUAGGGGAGCAAACGGGAUUAGAUACCCCGGUAGUCCUAGCCCUAAACGAUGGGUACUAAGUAGAGGAAAUUCCGAUAUUUUCUCUGCCGGAGCUAAUGUAUUAAGUACCCCGCCUGGGGAGUAUGGUCGCAAGGCUAAA